Rhodamnia argentea is the source of this 1380-nucleotide RNA transcript. It is a transcript of the gene named thioredoxin-like 4, chloroplastic, with no coding region annotated. NCBI's taxonomy places the organism in Eukaryota, Viridiplantae, Streptophyta, Magnoliopsida, Myrtales, Myrtaceae. The record is from RefSeq and is a predicted model, not a curated record. The transcript has 3 exons.
AUUGCAUUGCUCACCGUUUCAUCUUUCCUGAUCUGCGCGCGAAACUGAUCGACGUUCAAAUUCUCUGAUUUUUGAUGCUCUGGUCAAUUCAAUCUUCAACCUGCAUAGUAUUCAGACUUUUGUGCGUGCACCAGGCCCUGGAUUUCUACUUCAAGUUGAGACUUAGCGAGUGUUGAGGUCCUCUCUGUGAUUUUAAUGCAAAAGACAAGUAUUUUCGAUCCUAAGGCCCCGUUUGGAUUCCACAGGAAUCACAUUAGACAGUAUGAUCACCAGUUCACCUGCACGACUUCAUGUUGUUAUGCCGGAAGAGAUGAUGUUAGGUCAUCUGCUAAGUGGGUGAAGGUCCCAGUUCCAUCCACCGCUCAUUCUGCUGCUCUGAACCAUUUAAACGUUGGUUGUGAUUAUCGAAUGGUAAAAUUCAAGUGCGUGGCAUAUGAAGAUCAAGGGAAGUUGUUGGACGAGGACGAUGAUCUCUGUCCUGUCGACUGCGUGAGAGAAUUCAAGACCGACGAGGAGUUCUUUAGAAUCCUCGAGAAGGCCAAAGAGACUGACGCAUUGGUGGUGGUCGAUUUUUACCGCACUUCUUGCGGCAGCUGCAAGUACAUAGAGCAAGGAUUUGCGAAACUAUGCAGGCUUUCUGGUGAUCAAGAGGCUCAAGUAAUAUUCUUGAAGCACAAUGUAAUUGAUGAGUAUGAUGAAGAAUCAGAGGUUGCAGAGAGGCUUAGAAUAAGGGUAGCCUUCUCUUUGAAAUGCUUUGAUCUUAGCAUUGAUAGGUGACUUUCACUUUGGCUGCCCAACGUAAAAUCGGUCAUUCUUUCCUCAUUUAGUCCAAUUAAGUAGAGGAUGUUAACUAGAUUUAUCCUUUUGGAUGAUUGGUAUCAAUUCUGGUUCUCAAUAGGAUGCUGAUAUGUAAGCUUCAGCUGUUGCAUUAUAGUUUUGAUUAAGACUACUCUGCAUUUGCUGGUCUUACUUGAGGUGGAGCAAGUGCUAAAGCUAGCUCUAAGUUAAGUAUACAAUACAGAAUCUAGCUAUUCCUUUUCAGAAUUUAAUUAAGAUAAUUUUCCGAUGCAUUCCCUCAAAGCCGUGCCGCUCUUCCAUUUCUACAAGAACGGGGUCCUCCUGGAAGCAUUCCCGACCAGAGACAAAGACAGGAUUACUGAAGCCAUUCUUAAGUAUUCAUCUUCUGCUUUAGCAGGCUGAUGAUAGGUUCUGGUUUUGCACAUAAUGAUGCUUGUAGAUACUUUCAGCUAGUCAAUUGUCUUUGAUGCCUAUUCUAUGCGGUUGAUGAUUCCUCAAUAAAUGAAUGGCAUGAUAUUCCUAACGUGAGAGCAGAACAUAAGUAUCCUUCGAAGUGUAAUUCAGAUUGGAGUAUGGUGAUAA